Molecule: ribosomal RNA, 352 nt
Filed under: uncultured eukaryote
Lineage: Eukaryota
Description: bacterial SSU rRNA
Rfam family: Eukaryotic small subunit ribosomal RNA
Source: RNAcentral
CAAUAGCGUAUAUUUAAGUUGUUGCAGUUAAAGCUCGUAGUUGGAUUUCGGUUGAGAACGGCCGGUCCGCCGUUUGGUGUGCACUGGCUGGUCUCAACUUCCUGUAGAGGACGCGCUCUGGGUUAACGCUCGGACGCGGAGUCGGCGCUGUUACUUUGAAAAUUAGAGUGUUCAAAGCAGGCAACCGCUCUGAAUACAUUAGCAUGGAAUAACGCUAUAGGACUCUGGUCCUAUUGUGUUGGUCUUCGGGACCGGAGUAAUGAUUAAGAGGGACAGUUGGGGCAUUCGUAUUUCAUUGUCAGAGGUGAAAUUCUUGGAUUUAUGAAAGACGAACUUCUGCGAAAGCAUUUGC